CGGUCCGCCUCAAACCCUAAUACGGAAGAAUCAACGAAAUGGAGUUCGUCUUUCCUCGUGACUUCGUGACGUUUGCGCUUCUUCAAUGUAUCGUUUAGAUCUGCAAGACGGUGUGUUUUCGGUAUAAAUAUGUGUGUUUCUCUUCUUGAACUCAUCCUUUCUUCUCCGAUUUGAAGUCCGACAAGAAAUUUUUUCUCCGAUCUGAAGACAGGCUAAACUUGCUCUAGAGGCUCUUGAAGUUCCUGUGGGGAUGUGUCAUUCUUGAGGAGGGUAACAUCGUUGCUUCAGGGCGUAACCGAACUAAUGAGACAUGCAAUAGAGGCCACAAGACAUGUAGAGAUGGAAGCAAUCGAGGAACUUAUUGGACAAUGGCAAAAAGAUAGACUUUCACCUUCACAAGUCGCUGAGAAAUUCUCGAAAUGCGUUCCUUACGUAACAUGUGAACCUUGCAUAAUGUGUGCAUCGACCUUAUCCUUCCUCGGUAUGAAGGAAGUAUAUUAUGCAUGCGGAAAUGAUAAAUUUGGGGGUUGUGGUUCCGUAUUGUUGCUUCACUUAGAGAGUUCUCAGACAUAAGAUAUCCUUUGUAGACCCUAAAGAUCACACUACAAACUUAUUAGAAAAAAUCGGCCUUAUUAAUUGAAGUUUGUGAUCUCUGUUUUUUUUUAUAGUGAAGAAGCUCAAAGAGGAAAAGGGUACAAGUGCAGAGGAAUAAUGGCAGACGAAGCUGUAUCUCUUUUCAAAUGUUUCUAUGAGAGGAAUCCAUACAGAAACAAAGGUGGGAGAAUACAUAUUGAAGCCAAAGACAAUAGAAAGAGAGAAGACUUUCGUUCUUCUAGACAUCCCGCACCGCCGCACGUAACUCACUACUUCAGGAGGUGGUGGUUGUGGUGUAACUGAGAAGAAGAAAUGAUGGUGUGUUUCUUUGCAGGGCUGGUAUUGUGUUUCUUUGCAGGGCUGUUAUUGGUGGUGGUGGCUGGUAUUGUGUUUAUUUGCAGGGCUGGUAGUGGCGGUGGUGUAAGUGUGUAACCGAGAAGAAGGAAUGAUGCAAUGACUGAGUUCGAAGCUCUCCUUUUUUUUUAGAGUUUUCGCCUAAUUAAUGUUGCACCACCACCACCAUUUAUAUAAAACCACAAUCCAAGUUUAUUUAA
Molecule: long non-coding RNA, 1148 nt
Organism: Brassica napus (rape)
Lineage: Eukaryota; Viridiplantae; Streptophyta; Magnoliopsida; Brassicales; Brassicaceae
Exons: 7
Source: RefSeq, a predicted model, not a curated record